This 379-nucleotide long non-coding RNA is filed under the name Malus domestica (apple). RNAcentral's name for it is "long non-coding RNA (MDOM_LNC001391)". The record is from RNAcentral. Lineage: Eukaryota; Viridiplantae; Streptophyta; Magnoliopsida; Rosales; Rosaceae.
AUGGGUUAUGAGAGACUUUGCAGGUAUACCCAAGAUGGCGGGAGGGGCGGGAGGCUGUUUUUUCAACAACGCUGCGAUGGUGGAAAUAGCUGCAGUUUGUGCUGCGUUGAUCUUCUGCAGGGAACAAGGCUGCUCCAAGGUUGAAAUAAAGUCUAUGCUCAAUCUUUAGUUAUGAUGAUCAAUGGUAAGGUUUCUACGGAUGCUACUUUGGACUGUUAUUUAUUCGAUAUUAAGGUCUUAGCGUCUCUACUAGAGAAGAUGAAGUUUCUGUUAGUCCCGCGGAGUAUGGCUGCUCAUGUGGUUGCUUCACAUACCGCCUUGCAUGAUGAUUCUUUCUUAUAGGAUGCUCUUGACCCAGAAUUUCUUUUUAAUAUACUUG